UACAGAGGUGCCGAGCGUUAGGCGGAAUCACUGGGCUUAAAGCGUGUGUAGGCGGAUGCCUAAGUACCUUGUGAAAUCCCACGGCUUAACCGUGGAACUGCUCGGUAUACUGGGUGUCUUGAGCCACUUAGGGGCUACCGGAACAAAUGGUGGAGCGGUGAAAUGCGUAGAUAUCAGGAAGAACACCAAUGGCGAAAGCAGGUCUCUGGGCCACUACUGACGCUGAGAAGCGAAAGCAUGGGGGAGCGAACAGG
RNAcentral lists this ribosomal RNA (254 nucleotides) under uncultured bacterium. RNAcentral's name for it is "partial 16S ribosomal RNA". It matches the Rfam family "Bacterial small subunit ribosomal RNA", at positions 524 to 776 of the family's 1533-position model. The record is from RNAcentral.